Long non-coding RNA from Poecilia latipinna (sailfin molly), 374 nucleotides. RefSeq lists it as uncharacterized. Lineage: Eukaryota; Metazoa; Chordata; Actinopteri; Cyprinodontiformes; Poeciliidae. The transcript is spliced from 2 exons. The record is from RefSeq and is a predicted model, not a curated record.
UUGAGAACAAAAGAGAUAAAAUCCUGCUUUCAGACUGAAAAUGUAUGCUCUUGGAUAAUGGCAGAAAAAUUCCACCAUACCACCAUCAGAGUCAAGAAGCAAGUCUCCCUUCACUCACACCUGCAAUCAAUUUACUCAUCAGCCCAGGUCUGUUCAGAUUUCUCCUUCCUAAUAUUUAAACCACUCUCUUUCAGUCAGUAGUUGCCAGUUCAUCUUGUUACUUUCCUCUCUUCUUCUUGGGUUCCCAGUUUGGCCUUGUUUUGGAUUUUUCUGUUGGACUUUCUAUUUUUGUAAGUUUUUUUUUUUUUUUUUUUUCAUUAAAUAUCCACAACUGAUCUAUGUCUCUCACGUGCUGCAUUUGGGUCUGGAUUUAA